RNAcentral lists this transfer RNA (73 nucleotides) under Ixodes scapularis (black-legged tick). RNAcentral's name for it is "tRNA-Ser for anticodon GGA". It matches the Rfam family "tRNA". Rfam says of the family: Transfer RNA (tRNA) molecules are approximately 80 nucleotides in length. Their secondary structure includes four short double-helical elements and three loops (D, anti-codon, and T loops). Further hydrogen bonds mediate the characteristic L-shaped molecular structure. tRNAs have two regions of fundamental functional importance: the anti-codon, which is responsible for specific mRNA codon recognition, and the 3' end, to which the tRNAs corresponding amino acid is attached (by aminoacyl-tRNA synthetases). tRNAs cope with the degeneracy of the genetic code in two manners: having more than one tRNA (with a specific anti-codon) for a particular amino acid; and 'wobble' base-pairing, i.e. permitting non-standard base-pairing at the 3rd anti-codon position. The record is from RNAcentral. Lineage: Eukaryota; Metazoa; Arthropoda; Arachnida; Ixodida; Ixodidae.
UCCUGGUUAGCUCACUUGGUAGAGCGCUCCCCUGGAAAUGGAGAGGUUCCUGGUUCGAUACCGCAACCAAGCA